GCGUUGGUGGUUCAGUGGUAGAAUACUCGCCUGCCACGCGCGUGACCCGGGUUCGAUUCCCGGCUGACACA
This 71-nucleotide transfer RNA is filed under the name Rhipicephalus microplus (southern cattle tick). Its description in RNAcentral is "tRNA-Gly". It matches the Rfam family "tRNA". Rfam says of the family: Transfer RNA (tRNA) molecules are approximately 80 nucleotides in length. Their secondary structure includes four short double-helical elements and three loops (D, anti-codon, and T loops). Lineage: Eukaryota; Metazoa; Arthropoda; Arachnida; Ixodida; Ixodidae. The record is from Rfam by way of RNAcentral.